GGCACGGUUUCGCUUUCCAUUUCUACGUCCUCGAGUAGACCACUCAUAUACAUUCCCACUCAUAAUGUGGUGGAACCAUCCGACAAGUCAUGCUCAAUUACCGUCCUCUCUUGAAGAUAUACGGCUUCUAUUGGACCAACGGUCGGAAGCACAAUUUCAAUGGACACCAUACGAGGAUCCGGCAAUUCGGGCAAUAAUCCCAGAAGAGUUCUGAAAAAAUCCACAAGUUUGGCACGUGAAACUCGUGUUGAUCAACUACGCAACCGUGGAGCCGCACCAGACAGACAGAGUGCUACGACAGUUUGGAUGUAGACAACCGAUUCCCGUGGAUCCUGAGGUAUUUGAUGAUCAACACAAAGUCGACCUUCGACAAUUGAAUACGGAUUGGAUGAGAUACUAGUCCGAGUACAUGGAAAUGUGGGAAGAUCGAUAUAAAUAUAUACCUACUCGGGAACCAAUCAUCGUUUCGGAGUUAGCGUGGUUCCAGAAUACAUGCCAUGAUUUAGGAUCAAUGGCAAGCCGUAUUUACUGACGCCAGAGGAGAGGCAGCGGCAAAUACGUGUCGAAAGGGAAAGGCGCGGGCCUCUAAAUCCAAGACGACAAGACGACGAAGGUAGCCCCUCAACGAGGCCUAGACAUUCACCUGGCUCAUCAUCAGCGGCCAUUCAAUCACCAGGCCCAACGAGAGCACCGACACAGUCACCCGACGUAGCAGUUCAACCGAUAAUACCCACGCACCCGUAUUUUCAGAUGAUGCCAGGUGCGUUUCCUAGCCCUUAUAUGUAUCCUAACCCUUAUAUGUACCCUUUUUCGAGUCCUAUGGCAGGUUGGAGCCAAAUGCCCGGUUCAGCUCCAUUUCCUGUUAUGCCGAGUGGACCGCCGAUGUAUAGGCCAGCUGCGCACGAGGGAUCGCAAGAGGGGCUGUCGGGGAACUCUCCUUUUUACCAAUCCCCACCAACGUAUGAGUUUCAAACACUGUCGCCGUUCGUGAUGCAAACACCUCCACAUAUACUAUUCUUUGAAUGUGGAUCAUCGUCCCAAGUCCGACAACCAGAUGUCGUACCGGAAGAACCAGAAUCCCCGCCGGAGGAACAACAACCCCGCCGGAAGCUAGAGAAAUGAGGAAUCUAGCACGUAACCGUCGACGGCCGCCAUGUGGCACUGAAUCCCCCGGGCAUAGACAUUAAUUGCUGUAUUUAAAUUUAUUUGUACAAAUAUUUUUAAUAUU
Molecule: long non-coding RNA, 1228 nt
Organism: Gossypium raimondii (Peruvian cotton)
Lineage: Eukaryota; Viridiplantae; Streptophyta; Magnoliopsida; Malvales; Malvaceae
Exons: 3
Source: RefSeq, a predicted model, not a curated record